GGAGUAACCCGGGAGAAAUUUUUUUGGAUUUAAAUAAUGAAUUUCACUUUUUAGUAAAAAGGCUAAAAUUUUUUUUUUAGACGAGAAGCCCCUAUAAAACUUUAUAUUUUUUUCUUUUUAGCUAAAUUAAAAAAUAUUCUACUGGGGUGGUGAGGAAAAAGUUUUCCUUAAAAAUUUAACGUACUAGUUAAAUAUACCUAGAAUUUCUAAAAAAGAAAUAAGUUACUUUAGGGAUAACAGCUUAAUUUAUUUUGAAAGUUCUAAUUGACAAAUAAGUUUAUGACCUCGAUGUUGAAUUAAAAUACCUUUUUAUGCAAAAUUAAGAAG
Molecule: ribosomal RNA, 327 nt
Filed under: Odontobuthus bidentatus
Lineage: Eukaryota; Metazoa; Arthropoda; Arachnida; Scorpiones; Buthidae
Description: partial 16S ribosomal RNA
Source: RNAcentral